CUACUACAACUUUUAUUUGCUUGAGAGAAAAAAAUUGUUUUGAUAGCAUUGGAACAAAAGGGUACAGCACGUUACAACACAGAUCAUUCAUUUCUUUCCUUUUUUUAUGGAGAUGCAGCGCUGAUUGAUGGAGAGCUUUAUUAUUAUUGAUGGACUUUUUUUUUUAAUUGUCAUUCAACUUUAAGCUAUGAAGCAUGGGGAGGCUGAUUUGAUUUUAGCUAGUGGUGCACAAGUUCAUGGCACAUGAUGGUUUUCUUUUGGAACAGGAGAGGCGUCGGUUCAUUGAGAGAAGUGCGGCAUUCAUUUUUGGAUUUGAAGAAUAGGAGAUGUCACGGCCAGGCUGGAUUGGAGGAAGCAACACGGUGUCACAGCCUACAUGGAGAAAAGAAAGUUGAUUAAGAUUGGAUUUUGUAUAGUUUGAUCAAUAGAGUUCUUUAUGUUUCUUUUUUCUUUCUUUUUUAGCUCAUCAUUACAAGUU
This 478-nucleotide long non-coding RNA is filed under the name Vigna radiata. RNAcentral describes it as "long non-coding RNA (VRAD_LNC015932)". Lineage: Eukaryota; Viridiplantae; Streptophyta; Magnoliopsida; Fabales; Fabaceae. The record is from RNAcentral.